UACGUAGGGUGCAGGCGUUAAUCGGAAUUACUGGGCGUAAAGCGUGCGCAGGCGGUGAUGUAAGACAGUUGUGAAAUCCCCGGGCUCAACCUGGGAACUGCAUCUGUGACUGCAUAGCUAGAGUACGGUAGAGGGGGAUGGAAUUCCGCGUGUAGCAGUGAAAUGCGUAGAUAUGCGGAGGAACACCGAUGGCGAAGGCAAUCCCCCUGGACCUGUACUGACGCUCAUGCACGAAAGCGUGGGGGAGCAAACAGG
Molecule: ribosomal RNA, 255 nt
Filed under: uncultured bacterium
Lineage: Bacteria
Description: partial 16S ribosomal RNA
Rfam family: Bacterial small subunit ribosomal RNA
Source: RNAcentral